This 814-nucleotide ribosomal RNA is filed under the name uncultured bacterium. Its description in RNAcentral is "bacterial SSU rRNA". It matches the Rfam family "Bacterial small subunit ribosomal RNA", at positions 9 to 871 of the family's 1533-position model. The record is from RNAcentral.
GAGUUUGAUCAUGGCUCAGAACGUACGCUGGCGGCACGCCUAACACAUGCAAGUCGAACGAAGUAGCAAUACUUAGUGGCAGACGGGUGAGUAACAUGUAGGUAUCUGCCCUUUGGCCUGGAAUAACACGAGGAAACUUGUGCUAAUACCGGAUAAGUCUUUACGGAGAAAGCUUUAUGCACCAUUGGAUGAGCCUGCACUUGAUUAGUUUGUUGGUGGGGUAAUGGCCUACCAAGACUGUGAUCAAUAGCUGAUUUGAGAGGAUGAUCAGCCACAUUGGGACUGAGACACGGCCCAAACUCCUACGGGAGGCAGCAGUGGGGAAUCUUGCACAAUGGAGGAAACUCUGAUGCAGCGAUGCCGCGUGAGUGAAGAAGGCCCUUGGGUUGUAAAGCUCUUUCGUCGGGGAAGAAAAUGACUGUACCCGAAUAAGAAGGUCCGGCUAACUUCGUGCCAGCAGCCGCGGUAAUACGAAGGGACCUAGCGUAGUUCGGAAUUACUGGGCUUAAAGAGUUCGUAGGUGGUUGAAAAAGUUAGUGGUGAAAUCCCAGAGCUUAACUCUGGAACUGCCAUUAAAACUUUUCAGCUAGAGUGUGAUAGAGGAAAGCAGAAUUUCUAGUGUAGAGGUGAAAUUCGUAGAUAUUAGAAAGAAUACCAAUUGCGAAGGCAGCUUUCUGGAUCAUUACUGACACUGAGGAACGAAAGCAUGGGUAGCGAAGAGGAUUAGAUACCCUCGUAGUCCAUGCCGUAAACGAUGUGUGUUAGACGUUGGAAAUUUAUUUUCAGUGUCGCAGCGAAAGCGAUAAACACACCG